Non-coding RNA from Ricinus communis (castor bean), 109 nucleotides. The record is from Rfam. NCBI's taxonomy places the organism in Eukaryota, Viridiplantae, Streptophyta, Magnoliopsida, Malpighiales, Euphorbiaceae.
AGACCAUGGUGUGUGGACAGCAUCUCAACAAGUCCUUGUACCUCUCCCAGGCAUCGUACAUGCUCUCGUCGUCCAUCUGCAUAAAAGAAGAAAUGUCAUUUCUCAAUUU